RNAcentral lists this ribosomal RNA (445 nucleotides) under uncultured bacterium. Its description in RNAcentral is "bacterial SSU rRNA". It matches the Rfam family "Bacterial small subunit ribosomal RNA", at positions 331 to 792 of the family's 1533-position model. The record is from RNAcentral.
CCAGACUCCUACGGGAGGCAGCAGUGGGGGAUAUUGCACAAUGGGGGGAACCCUGAUGCAGCGACGCCGCGUGGGUGAAGGAGUAUUUCGGUAUGUAAAGCCCUAUCGGCAGGGAAGAAGCAAGACGGUACCUGACUAAGAAGCCCCGGCUAACUACGUGCCAGCAGCCGCGGUAAUACGUAGGGGGCGAGCGUUAUCCGGAUUCACUGGGUGUAAAGGGAGCGUAGACGGCCAUGCAGGCCAGGGGUGAAAGCCCGGGGCCCAACCCCGGGACUGCCCUUGGAACUGUGCGGCUAGAGUGCGGGAGGGGCAGGCGGAAUUCCUGGUGUAGCGGUGAAAUGCGUAGAUAUUAGGAGGAACACCAGUGGCGAAGGCGGCCUGCUGGACGACAACUGACGGUGAGGCGCGAAAGCGUGGGGAGCAAACAGGAUUAGAUACCCUAGUA